This 497-nucleotide ribosomal RNA is filed under the name uncultured bacterium. RNAcentral describes it as "partial 16S ribosomal RNA". It matches the Rfam family "Bacterial small subunit ribosomal RNA", at positions 28 to 507 of the family's 1533-position model. The record is from RNAcentral.
GAUGAACGCUGGCGGCGUGCCUAAUACAUGCAAGUCGAGCGAACAGACGAGGAGCUUGCUCCUCUGACGUUAGCGGCGGACGGGUGAGUAAAACGUGGAUAACCUACCUAUAAGACUGGGAUAACUUCGGGAAACCGGAGCUAAUACCGGAUAAUAUAUUGAACCGCAUGGUUCAAUAGUGAAAGACGGGUUUGCUGUCACUUAUAGAUGGAUCCGCGCCGCAUUAGCUAGUUGGUAAGGUAACGGCUUACCAAGGCAACGAUGCGUAGCCGACCUGAGAGGGUGAUCGGCCACACUGGAACUGAGACACGGUCCAGACUCCUACGGGAGGCAGCAGUAGGGAAUCUUCCGCAAUGGGCGAAAGCCUGACGGAGCAACGCCGCGUGAGUGAUGAAGGUCUUCGGAUCGUAAAACUCUGUUAUUAGGGAAGAACAAAUGUGUAAGUAACUAUGCACGUCUUGACGGUACCUAAUCAGAAAGCCACGGCUAACUACGUG